Molecule: unclassified non-coding RNA, 301 nt
Filed under: Hevea brasiliensis (rubber tree)
Lineage: Eukaryota; Viridiplantae; Streptophyta; Magnoliopsida; Malpighiales; Euphorbiaceae
Source: RNAcentral
AGAUUUUGACUCCCGUGUACUGCGUUAUAAGGUUCUUCCUCCACUUUGUGCAGAGCUCCGGAACGUGGUAAUGCAACCCAUGAUUCUUCCCAUGGUUCUGACCAUUGCAGAAUCUCAGGAUAAAAGUGAUUUUGGGAUAUCGACCCUGCCAGCUCUUGUUCCUGUUUUAAACAGCGCAGCAGGUGAAACAUUAUUGUUACUUGUUAAGCAUGCAGAGCUUAUUAUCAACAAGGCUAGUCAGGACCACUUAAUCUCACAUGUUCUGCCCAUGCUUGUCCGAGCUUAUGAUGAUACUGAUCCA